Scatophagus argus is the source of this 907-nucleotide long non-coding RNA. RefSeq lists it as uncharacterized. The record is from RefSeq and is a predicted model, not a curated record. NCBI's taxonomy places the organism in Eukaryota, Metazoa, Chordata, Actinopteri, Scatophagidae. The transcript has 3 exons.
CCUGGGCGUGGUGGCGUAGAGGGUUAAGAACGCGGCAACCAUCGAAUGAGUGUAUGGGUGCCGGGUUCGAAACUCAUUACGUUAUCACGCCCGGGGAUCCCUACACCCGGUUUGACGUGGUGUGGGGUCGUUUGGGGGGGCCCCCCUCCCCCCUUUCGGCUCUCCUCCGCGCCUCCCCGACGUGUCUGCACGGGGAUCAUUUACUCCCCACUAUUAACAGCUGGGGUCAUGAAUAGAACUGUAAACCGCUGGCCUUUUCAAAAAGUAUCGUGUGUCUACCUGGUCAAAAACAAUUUGCGUGUUUGUGGCAAGUUUAGUUCGGAGCUUGUUAUGAUGAUGCUAACGACGAAACGUCUUGAUGAGAAGGAAGGUCUCGCGCGAGUCGGCGGCAAGAGUACGAGCGUCGUCAUGCGCGGGUCCUUUCAAUCAAGAAACGUCGGCGUUGGUGGAGCGUUGCGCUGUUUUGUCGGUGAAAUGUGUGAUCGCAUGGAAGAUUUUGGACGCCUGUAAAAUGUUCGACCGAAGUCAAGAAGCUGGAGUGUUUGUGUGUUACUUGAGUCGGCGACGCUAAGCGUCAAAAACAGGGGUCGGUCGGUCGGUGGAGUGCAAAGAAGUGACCGAACGCCAAGGUGGUGGAGCGUUGCGUUGUUUUGUCUGCCGUAUGGAAGAUUUUGGACGCCUGUAACACGACAAAGAGUAUCAACGGAUGUGGUGACCCAGCUGAGCGAGCUGCUGAACGUCACGCAGGCGUCGCUGUCCAAACUGAUGUCCGAGGAGCCGUCGGAGUGGAAGCAGCGGCACCAGAUCGCCUGCAUCGGCAGUCCGCCCAACGCCUGCCAACUGUCAGGUUCCUGGUGCAGGAGUUCAACCACCAGCCCUCAUGGGAUGUCACAGAGAAGAAAGGGGA